CCUACGGGUGGCAGCAGUGAGGAAUAUUUGUCAAUGGACGAGAGUCUGAACCAGCCAAGUAGCGUGAAGGAUGACUGCCCUAUGGGUUGUAAACUUCUUUUAUAUGGGAAUAAAAUUUUCCACGUGUGUGCUUUUGUAUGUACCAUAUGAAUAAGGAUCGGCUAACUCCGUGCCAGCAGCCGCGGUAAUACGGAGGAUCCGAGCGUUAUCCGGAUUUAUUGGGUUUAAAGGGAGCGUAGGUGGAUUGUUAAGUCAGUUGUGAAAGUUUGCGGCUAAACCGUAAAAUUGCAGUUGAAACUGGCAGUCUUGAGUACAGUAGAGGUGGGCGGAAUUCGUGGUGUAGCGGUGAAAUGCUUAGAGAUCACGCAGAACUCCGAUUGCGAAGGCAGCUCACUGGACUGCAACUGACACUGAGGCUCGAAAGUGUGGGUAUCAAACAGGAUUAGAUACCCCUGUAGUC
RNAcentral lists this ribosomal RNA (460 nucleotides) under uncultured bacterium. RNAcentral describes it as "partial 16S ribosomal RNA". It matches the Rfam family "Bacterial small subunit ribosomal RNA", at positions 338 to 795 of the family's 1533-position model. The record is from RNAcentral.